This 377-nucleotide ribosomal RNA is filed under the name uncultured bacterium. RNAcentral describes it as "bacterial SSU rRNA". It matches the Rfam family "Bacterial small subunit ribosomal RNA", at positions 28 to 399 of the family's 1533-position model. The record is from RNAcentral.
GAUGAACGCUAGCGGCAGGCCUAAUACAUGCAAGUCGAACGGUAAGGCCCUUUCGGGGGUACACGAGUGGCGGACGGGUGCGUAACGCGUAUGCAACAUGCCUUCCAGCGGGGGAGUAUACCAGGGAAACUUGGCGCAAUACCCCACUAGAAUUACGGGACCGCAUGGUCUUGUGAUUAAAACUACCGGUGCUGGGAGAUUGGCAUGCGUGACAUUAGCUAGUUGGCGGGGUAACGGCCCACCAAGGCGACGAUGUCUAGCUGGUCUGAGAGGAUGAUCAGCCACACUGGGACUGAGACACGGCCCAGACUCCUACGGGAGGCAGCAGUAGGGAAUAUUGGACAAUGGGGGGAACCCGUACGAUCCACGUCAUGCCG